AGAGCGGGCARGCMUCACGGCUGCGCCCGGGCGGGCAACCCCCGCGACUCUUCAACCCUGUGUGUACCAACCAUUGUUGCUUCGGCGAGCGUUGGGGCGCCCCGCGCCCCGGCCCCGGCCUCGGUCGGUGAGUUCUCGUCAGAGGCCCAACCUCAUUCUGUUCACAGUGACGUCCGAGUACACCGAUUAAACCAAUCAAAACUUUCAACAACGGAUCUCUUGGUUCUGGCCUCGAUGAAGAACGCAGCGAAAUGCGAUAAGUAAUGUGAAUUGCAGAAUUCAGUGAAUCAUCGAAUCUUUGAACGCACAUUGCGCCCCUUGGUAUUCCGGGGGGCAUGCCUGUUCGAGCGUCAUUGCAACCCUCAAGCUUUGCUUGGUGCUGGGCUUCGCCUCCCCGUGUCAGGGGCGGCGUGCCCGCAAAUUAGUGGCGGUCCGGGGAGACUUCAAGCGCAGUAAAUCUUUCACGCUUCCGAGGUCUCGCCCGCGGUCCUGCCGGAAA
RNAcentral lists this ribosomal RNA (499 nucleotides) under Caloplaca substerilis. RNAcentral's name for it is "eukaryotic LSU rRNA". The stretch from base 200 to 353 matches the Rfam family "5.8S ribosomal RNA". Lineage: Eukaryota; Fungi; Ascomycota; Lecanoromycetes; Teloschistales; Teloschistaceae. The record is from RNAcentral.